AUACCCGCUCCGCGAGUGGUGGGGACUUUUACUGGGCUUAAAGCGCCCGUAGCCGGCUGGGUGUGUCCUCCGAUAAAUCCACAGGCCUAACCUGUGGGCUGCGGGGGAUACUACCCGGCUUGGGGGUGGGAGAGGGCGGCGGUAUUCCCGGGGUAGGGGUAAAAUCCACUGAUCCCGGGAGGACCACCAGUGGCGAAGGCGGCCGCCCAGAACACGCCCGACGGUGAGGGGCGAAAGCUGGGGGAGCAAACGGGAUUAGAUACCCUUGUAGUCC
RNAcentral lists this ribosomal RNA (274 nucleotides) under uncultured bacterium. RNAcentral describes it as "partial 16S ribosomal RNA". It matches the Rfam family "Archaeal small subunit ribosomal RNA", at positions 473 to 747 of the family's 1478-position model. The record is from RNAcentral.